UACAGAGGUCUCAAGCGUUGUUCGGAUUCAUUGGGCGUAAAGGGUGCGUAGGCGGCGCGGUAAGUCGGAUGUGAAAUCUCGGAGCUUAACUCCGAAACUGCAUUCGAUACUGCCGUGCUUGAGGACUGGAGAGGAGACUGGAAUUUACGGUGUAGCGGUGAAAUGCGUAGAUAUCGUGAGGAAGACCAGUGGCGAAGGCGGGUCUCUGGACAGUUCCUGACGCUGAGGCGCGAAGGCCAGGGGAGCAAACGGG
This 253-nucleotide ribosomal RNA is filed under the name uncultured bacterium. RNAcentral describes it as "partial 16S ribosomal RNA". It matches the Rfam family "Bacterial small subunit ribosomal RNA", at positions 524 to 776 of the family's 1533-position model. The record is from RNAcentral.